UUUUCCUGCAGGUUGACGAAUCCAGCCUGUAUGCUCACUUGUAACUGAAUAUGAGACUUUACAGUUGAUAGUGAGAGUGGCAUCAGGACGGACAGUCAGAGACUCAGGCUGAGCGAGAAGCAAGAUGAAUGAGGGAGACAUGGUGAAGGCUCAGAAGUACAGUCGAUGUGCAUGUAGGACAAACACAAUGGCCGUGAUUGUGACCAGUGCGGCUCUAACUGUGUUCCUGGUAUUCUAUUGUGGAGAAGUCUUUAAUGAUGGAGUUAUCUUACAUGUUAUAUAAGUUCAGCUUACACGUCUUUUCUACUUUUGAACUGUCUUUUGACAUUGAAAGGCAAAAAUCUAAACCCCAAAAUAAUUAUGAUCAAAGUAGACACAACUCUUAUCCAUCUGGAAACAACAUUAAUAGAAGUCCUCAGAGACCCUCAUACAGUGGAGGAAGAUAAUACAAGUGAUACUGUGAGGUGAAAAUGAUCAUCGCAGUUUUAUUGAAAUGUCACAAUAAUGCUAUAUGCUUAGUUUGAUUAGCAGAUUUUGUAUUAGAAACCUUUUCUAAAAUAAUAUUAUAGUCAUCAAGGUCACUUAAUUUGCUUCUGAUAUCAUAAGAAUAUACAUAAGAAUAUAGCAAUUUCAUGAUUGUAUCCUCUUGUAUUUAUGUUUGAAUGAGCAUGUUAUUAUUUUUAACAGAAUGUAUUUUAAAGCUUUCUAUAUGCUUUGUAGUUACAGAAUGUAAAUAAUUCUUAUGAAAC
Carassius auratus (goldfish) is the source of this 749-nucleotide long non-coding RNA. RefSeq lists it as uncharacterized. Lineage: Eukaryota; Metazoa; Chordata; Actinopteri; Cypriniformes; Cyprinidae. The record is from RefSeq and is a predicted model, not a curated record. The transcript has 2 exons.